GAUGAACGCUGGCGGCGUGCCUAAUACAUGCAAGUCGAGCGAACGGACGAGAAGCUUGCUUCUCUGAUGUUAGCGGCGGACGGGUGAGUAACACGUGGAUAACCUACCUAUAAGACUGGGAUAACUUCGGGAAACCGGAGCUAAUACCGGAUAAUAUUUUGAACCGCAUGGUUCAAAAGUGAAAGACGGUCUUGCUGUCACUUAUAGAUGGAUCCGCGCUGCAUUAGCUAGUUGGUAAGGUAACGGCUUACCAAGGCAACGAUGCAUAGCCGACCUGAGAGGGUGAUCGGCCACACUGGAACUGAGACACGGUCCAGACUCCUACGGGAGGCAGCAGUAGGGAAUCUUCCGCAAUGGGCGAAAGCCUGACGGAGCAACGCCGCGUGAGUGAUGAAGGUCUUCGGAUCGUAAAACUCUGUUAUUAGGGAAGAACAUAUGUGUAAGUAACUGUGCACAUCUUGACGGUACCUAAUCAGAAAGCCACGGCUAACUACGUGCCAGCAGCCGCGGUAAUACGUAGGUGGCAAGCGUUAUCCGGAAUUAUUGGGCGUAAAGCGCGCGUAGGCGGUUUUUUAAGUCUGAUGUGAAAGCCCACGGCUCAACCGUGGAGGGUCAUUGGAAACUGGAAAACUUGAGUGCAGAAGAGGAAAGUGGAAUUCCAUGUGUAGCGGUGAAAUGCGCAGAGAUAUGGAGGAACACCAGUGGCGAAGGCGACUCUCUGGUCUGUAACUGACGCUGAUGUGCGAAAGCGUGGGGAUCAAACAGGAUUAGAUACCCUGGUAGUCCACGCCGUAAACGAUGAGUGCUAAGUGUUAGGGGGUUUCCGCCCCUUAGUGCUGCAGCUAACGCAUUAAGCACUCCGCCUGGGGAGUACGACCGCAAGGUUGAAACUCAAAGGAAUUGACGGGGACCCGCACAAGCGGUGGAGCAUGUGGUUUAAUUCGAAGCAACGCGAAGAACCUUACCAAAUCUUGACAUCCUUUGACAACUCUAGAGGUAGAGCUUUCCCCUUCGGGGGACAAAGUGACAGGUGGUGCAUGGUUGUCGUCAGCUCGUGUCGUGAGAUGUUGGGUUAAGUCCCGCAACGAGCGCAACCCUUAAGCUUAGUUGCCAUCAUUAAGUUGGGCACUCUAAGUUGACUGCCGGUGACAAACCGGAGGAAGGUGGGGAUGACGUCAAAUCAUCAUGCCCCUUAUGAUUUGGGCUACACACGUGCUACAAUGGACAAUACAAAGGGCAGCGAAACCGCGAGGUCAAGCAAAUCCCAUAAAGUUGUUCUCAGUUCGGAUUGUAGUCUGCAACUCGACUACAUGAAGCUGGAAUCGCUAGUAAUCGUAGAUCAGCAUGCUACGGUGAAUACGUUCCCGGGUCU
This 1372-nucleotide ribosomal RNA is filed under the name uncultured bacterium. RNAcentral describes it as "bacterial SSU rRNA". It matches the Rfam family "Bacterial small subunit ribosomal RNA", at positions 28 to 1381 of the family's 1533-position model. The record is from RNAcentral.